This 300-nucleotide long non-coding RNA is filed under the name Lathyrus oleraceus (garden pea). RNAcentral's name for it is "Pisum sativum (pea) long non-coding RNA (PSAT_LNC030053)". Lineage: Eukaryota; Viridiplantae; Streptophyta; Magnoliopsida; Fabales; Fabaceae. The record is from RNAcentral.
CCCAUUUGUUAUUUUUGAUUGGAGUUUAUUAUUUAUUUUUAUUAAGCAUGCUUAUUAACACCAAGAGCACUUGACUCAGUGGUAAGGGGGUUGACUCAUGACCCUAAGGUCAGGGGUUCAACCCCCAACGCCCCCAUUGUUCUUUUUCCUUAUUUUACCUUUUAUUUCUUAUUUUCAUUUUAUUUUAUUUAUUUUUCUUUCCAUUUUAAUUCUUGUUAUUUUCUCAUUUAUUUCUUUUAAACCCAAUAUGUUUGUAAAUACACUUCAUCAAAAUAUUGUGUUUUAUUUUAUCCAUUAUUU